RNAcentral lists this ribosomal RNA (497 nucleotides) under uncultured bacterium. Its description in RNAcentral is "partial 16S ribosomal RNA". It matches the Rfam family "Bacterial small subunit ribosomal RNA", at positions 28 to 507 of the family's 1533-position model. The record is from RNAcentral.
GAUGAACGCUGGCGGCGUGCCUAAUACAUGCAAGUCGAGCGAACGGACGAGAAGCUUGCUUCUCUGAUGUUAGCGGCGGACGGGUGAGUAACACGUGGAUAACCUACCUAUAAGACUGGGAUAACUUCGGGAAACCGUAGCUAAUACCGGAUAAUAUUUUGAACCGCAUGGUUCAAAAGUGAAAGACGGUCUUGCUGUCACUUAAAGAUGGAUCCGCGCUGCAUUAGCUAGUUGGUAAGGUAACGGCUUACCAAGGCAACGAUGCAUAGCCGACCUGAGAGGGUGAUCGGCCACACUGGAACUGAGACACGGUCCAGACUCCUACGGGAGGCAGCAGUAGGGAAUCUUCCGCAAUGGGCGAAAGCCUGACGGAGCAACGCCGCGUGAGUGAUGAAGGUCUUCGGAUCGUAAAACUCUGUUAUUAGGGAAGAACAUAUGUGUAAGUAACUGUGCACAUCUUGACGGUACCUAAUCAGAAAGCCACGGCUAACUACGUG